CUUCCAUGCGGAGGAAGCAGCCAAGGAGAACGAAGGAAGUCCGGGGCGGGAAGAUGGAGGAGAGGCUUCCAGGAAGGGCAGGAAAGCUGACGAUUGUUCUGGAGAUCGAAGCCGCUGUUUCCCCUCGGCUUCCGGGAGCCCACGGGGCUGGCGAGCUCCUGAAAGGCCCGACACAGCUGAGCUCAGAGCCCCUCUCCCGUGUCCCGGGGGAGGCCCAGUGAUGGCGGCGAGUACCAGCUUCCUGGGCAUUGGCAGCAGGUUUCAUCUCAGCCACGCGGCCCAGCCCUGGGACCUGGUGGACCGCAUCUCUCUCCGCCUGCCCACCUCCAGCCAGACUGGGUCCUUGGCAAUACCCUGGAGCCUGAACUUCAGCCUCGUCAGCCGCAGCUUGUUCGCAGGGUGAACGGACCGCUUCAGAUGCAUCUGGCUGGGGUCGGUGGCCACCAUGCAGUCCCUGGCAAACUACAGGCCAGAAAACAUUGUUUUUGCCAAGAUCAAAAGUCAUGCCAGUCUGCUUCGGCGUGUCAGCUCCACCAGCUGAGAGACAUGGUCAAGGAACUAGCCCAUGCCACCUCCAUCUACAUGCCAUCUUCUGGACCAUUUGGAAGUAAUCUGGCAUCAUCUAAACCCACAGCCCAGCCCUAACUCCCCAGCUGUUUGUGGGAUCUACAGGUAAACCUUAGGGAGUUCUGAGCCCAUGUUUCAAAAAUAAUCAUUAACGACUGGCCUUGACUGAGGACCAUGCAGGGGACAGGCCCUGUGUCUGCCUGCCCUUCCCUCCCUGCUUCUCUUCUCCUCUCUGUCUUCAUUUCUCUGUGUCUUUUGAAAAGUUAUUUCUAUUUUGGAUUUAUCCACCAUUUGCCAACAUUUUACUAUAGCUAAAAUUUUAGAGUUGUUUUUAAUUCUAUAAAAGUAUAAUAAGAAAGAUUGUGUGCAUGUAUAUCCAUGCUUAUAUAACAUAAGGGCAAAGUCUGAUGAAUUUUCACAAACCAUACACACAUGUGAAUUCCUUAAAAACACAGCGCCCAGAUCAAGAACACCUUCCCCGUCCCUUCCAAAGCCCCCGACGCUCUCCUGUUGCUACCGCUGGGGAAGGAAGGCUAGUGCUACCUUGACUUCUAACAGCACACAGAGGUUUGCCUGUGGUUGUUUUUUUAAAUAUGUCACUGUGUUUUGCUUUAUUUUGUGAGAGACACCAGAACCAAAUAAGUACCAUUUGUUUUAUUUCUAAUUAUAUGGUUAGGAAGAACGUAUUUUUAAAAUGGACUUUCUGAGGGACAAACAAUAUGUUACUUGUCCCCAAAAUAUUUUGGCAUUAUGUUAGUAGACUUUUUGUUUAUUAUUUUUUUGGUUCAUGAUCUAUUUUGUGUUCUCUUGUGGAUUUUUUGAGGGAUGAAUGUGGAACACUAAAUGGGGUAUAUGAAGGCAUAAUGGUGCCUAAGGUUGGACACUGAUAUGUAUAUGUGAUGACAUUUUUAUUGAGGCAAAAUUUACAUAAAAUAAAUUCACAGAUAAGUGUACAAUUCGAUGAGUUCUGAGGAAUGCAAAUACUCAUGUAAUCAACCACCCCAGUCAAGACCAAAUGGUUCCAGAAAGUUCCCUCAUGUCCCUUCCAGUUAGUUCAUGCCCACUGCAACCACGGUUCUAAUUUUGAUCACCACAGACCAAUUCUCCCUGCUUCAUGAGCUUCGCAUAUGUGUAAUGAUAGAAUAUGUGCUCAUUUCUACAACAAAAAGCUUUUGAGAGUCAUCUUUAUUGUUGCAUGUAUCAGUUUUUAUUCUUUUCUAUACUGAGUUUAUAUCAUUGUAUGACUAUAGAUAACAAUU
Molecule: long non-coding RNA, 1826 nt
Organism: Manis javanica (Malayan pangolin)
Lineage: Eukaryota; Metazoa; Chordata; Mammalia; Pholidota; Manidae
Source: RefSeq, a predicted model, not a curated record